RNAcentral lists this ribosomal RNA (538 nucleotides) under uncultured bacterium. RNAcentral's name for it is "bacterial SSU rRNA". It matches the Rfam family "Bacterial small subunit ribosomal RNA", at positions 778 to 1314 of the family's 1533-position model. The record is from RNAcentral.
AUAGAUACCCGGGUAGUCCACGCCCUAAACGAUGCGAACUGGAUGUUGGGUACAUUACGGUACUCAGUGUCGAAGCUAACGCGUUAAGUUCGCCGCCUGGGGAGUACGGUCGCAAGACUGAAACUCAAAGGAAUUGACGGGGGCCCGCACAAGCGGUGGAGUAUGUGGUUUAAUUCGAUGCAACGCGAAGAACCUUACCUGGCCUUGACAUCUGUCGAAUCCUGCAGAGAUGCGGGAGUGCCGCAAGGAACGACAAGACAGGUGCUGCAUGGCUGUCGUCAGCUCGUGUCGUGAGAUGUUGGGUUAAGUCCCGCAACGAGCGCAACCCUUGUCCUUAGUUGCCAGCACGUAAUGGUGGGAACUCUAAGGAGACUGCCGGUGACAAACCGGAGGAAGGUGGGGAUGACGUCAAGUCCUCAUGGCCCUUACGGCCAGGGCUACACACGUACUACAAUGGUCGGUACAGAGGGUUGCGAAGCCGCGAGGUGGAGCCAAUCCCAGAAAGCCGAUCCCAGUCCGGAUUGGAGUCUGCAACUCG